UACGUAGGGGGCAAGCGUUGUCCGGAAUCAUUGGGCGUAAAGCGCGUGUAGGCGGCUCGAUAAGUCUGCUGUGAAAGUCCAGGGCUCAACCCUGGGAUGCCGGUGGAUACUGUCGAGCUCGAGUCCGGAAGAGGCGAGUGGAAUUCCUGGUGUAGCGGUGAAAUGCGCAGAUAUCAGGAGGAACACCAAUGGCGAAGGCAGCUCGCUGGGACGUGACUGACGCUCAUGCACGAAAGCGUGGGGAGCAAACAGG
Molecule: ribosomal RNA, 253 nt
Filed under: uncultured bacterium
Lineage: Bacteria
Description: partial 16S ribosomal RNA
Rfam family: Bacterial small subunit ribosomal RNA
Source: RNAcentral